Molecule: transfer RNA, 90 nt
Filed under: Candidatus Eiseniibacteriota bacterium
Lineage: Bacteria; Candidatus Eiseniibacteriota
Description: tRNA-Ser
Rfam family: tRNA
About the family: Transfer RNA (tRNA) molecules are approximately 80 nucleotides in length. Their secondary structure includes four short double-helical elements and three loops (D, anti-codon, and T loops). Further hydrogen bonds mediate the characteristic L-shaped molecular structure. tRNAs have two regions of fundamental functional importance: the anti-codon, which is responsible for specific mRNA codon recognition, and the 3' end, to which the tRNAs corresponding amino acid is attached (by aminoacyl-tRNA synthetases). tRNAs cope with the degeneracy of the genetic code in two manners: having more than one tRNA (with a specific anti-codon) for a particular amino acid; and 'wobble' base-pairing, i.e. permitting non-standard base-pairing at the 3rd anti-codon position.
Source: RNAcentral
GGAGAGGUGGCCGAGUGGUCGAAGGCGGCACAUUGCUAAUGUGUUGUGGGCUUAAACGGCUCACCGCGAGUUCGAAUCUCGCCCUCUCCG